AUGUCAGUUCCUCUUCAAAUUUCCUCUUCAAAUUUCACCGAUUUCACCAAAUUUCCUCGAUAUUUGACAGUUUACCCCCGGAUGUCAGUUCCUCUUCAAAUUUCACGCUGGACUGAACAUGUAUCAACCGGACCUGUCAUUAAGAAUAAGACCCUCUUAGUCACAGAAACGAUUUUUCAGGACCUCCGCAAAAGAAGCAGGAACGAGUCUUCUGUUUGAUCGUCCGCUUGAAUCACUUUAUACAUGAUUAACCUUUCUGAGGCAGGAUGAUGUUCUGAGUAACUUUCGAGCAAUCCCGUUCAGCUUAUCCUUCGAGGUGAGAGAACGACAUGCCUGAUGGCUCUCAGUUUCUGUAGCGUGUAUUACAGAUCUGCAAAGGGAGCCAUCUGAAAGAGCUGUGAAAUUCAUUUUCAAUUAGAAGACGUGUUUGAUCAUUUCUUCACAGUCCACUUCCCUGCAAAGAGCAUGGAAACCAAGGGAAAGUUACCCAAGUGCGGUGUAGGAAAGGCAUAACUCCUUUCAGAGUCAUGCUUGGGACUUAGAGUUGUGCCCAAGAGCUUACCAGAACUGGACCAAGGAGGACAAAGUAGUGAGGGGUCUGGUUUACCUUCUCCAAAGCCUCAGUUCUACAAAGCACUUGGGCAUGUCUCCUUGAAGUCAAUAGAGCUCAUGUGUUCCUAAAGUUAAACACAAUUACAUGUAGAAUCAGGGCACGAGGGAAACCGAGUUCCUGCUGUCUUGUGUGUCCCCGGGGAGCCGUUGGGUGAAGUUCUCCUUUAGGAGACCUCCUAAUGACCCCCACAUUGCUUGUGCACACACAGUGAACACAGCCAAGCCUCACAAAGGCUGAAUCUUGCCUUCAGAGAGAAGCCAUGUCAGAAUUUACCAACCCGUGAUUCAUGUCCUCUUUUCACAGCCCCGAAUACCCUAAAUGCUUGAGCAGAAUAUCAAACCAGGUCAUUAGCUCCGAGGGAGAGUUAGUGUAUGACUUGUGUUUCUCUUCCAACAUGGACUAUAGCAUUCCACUAAGUGCUUGCUUCUAACUGAGAAGCAACAUUUCAGUAAGUCUUGCUUUUUGUUUAAUAUAUAUAUAUAUUUGAUUUGGGACAAAAACACCCAGAGCCAAAACAAGAAUGAUUCCCCAAGAAGCACAUGGCUGCAAAACAUCUCUUAAUCUUUUGUUUUUCAACAAAGAUGCAAGCAUGGUUUAUAAACAAAGAAAAAAGCUUACCGUCUUAAUCCAGGAAUGUCAGUGUGCCUAAUAUUAUAGGUCUUGUGACUGAUAUAAUUUCAUAACAACAUCCUUAUCCAGAAGAAGGGAAAUUGUGUAUCUACUCCAUGCAUGUACUAAGGCAUUGCAAAAAGUUUAAUCUGCGUAAUGAGUUUGCGAUACUGCAAAUUGUUAAUGGGGCUACAUCGCAAAUGGUUCUCUGCCUUGACAAUCAUGUAUACAUAUCAAUAUUUCUAUCAUAAUGAUAAUUUGAAGGGACAACUACUUGUUUUCCUCCAAUAAAUCCAAUUAAAUCCAUGUUCUGGAGUGUCUU
Molecule: long non-coding RNA, 1544 nt
Filed under: Crocodylus porosus (Australian saltwater crocodile)
Lineage: Eukaryota; Metazoa; Chordata; Crocodylia; Crocodylidae
Description: lncRNA (ENSCPRG00005000639.1)
Source: RNAcentral